This is a microRNA precursor of Mandrillus leucophaeus (drill), 87 nucleotides long. The record is from Ensembl. Lineage: Eukaryota; Metazoa; Chordata; Mammalia; Primates; Cercopithecidae.
UCUAUUAGGUUGGUGCAAAAGUAAUUGCAGUUUUUGGCAUUACUUUUAAUGGCAAAUACCGCAAUUACUUUUGUACCAACUUAAUAC